RNAcentral lists this ribosomal RNA (392 nucleotides) under uncultured cyanobacterium. RNAcentral describes it as "bacterial SSU rRNA". It matches the Rfam family "Bacterial small subunit ribosomal RNA", at positions 382 to 790 of the family's 1533-position model. The record is from RNAcentral. Lineage: Bacteria; Bacillati; Cyanobacteriota.
CCCGGUAAGACAUGCCGCGUGGAGGUAGAAGGCCCACGGGUCGUAAACUCCUUUUCUCAGAGAAGAAGCAAUGACGGUAUCUGAGGAAUAAGCAUCGGCUAACUCUGUGCCAGCAGCCGCGGUAAGACAGAGGAUGCAAGCGUUAUCCGGAAUGAUUGGGCGUAAAGCGUCUGUAGGUGGCUUUUUAAGUCUGCCGUCAAAUCCCAGGGCUUAACCCUGGACAGGCGGUGGAAACUACCAAGCUGGAGUACGGUAGGGGCAGAGGGAAUUUCCGGUGGAGCGGUGAAAUGCGUAGAGAUCGGAAAGAACACCAACGGCGAAGGCACUCUGCUGGGCCGACACUGACACUGAGAGACGAAAGCUAGGGGAGCAAAUGGGAUUAGAUACCCCCA